Molecule: long non-coding RNA, 510 nt
Organism: Homo sapiens (human)
Lineage: Eukaryota; Metazoa; Chordata; Mammalia; Primates; Hominidae
Source: Ensembl
CAGCUGACUCUCCAGCAGGGCCCGGAGAGGAUUGGGACAGACCUAGCAUCACGGCGGAACUCCCAAGCCUCAGGUUCAGAGUCACAGAGGAGUAUACAGCUGGGAGCCAGUGAACCUGAGGGAGGCCAUGGAAAAGACAAGGACUUCCCUCUCCUGCUGACCCAAAGGCCCAUCUUCCGAAUUCUGGAACCCCCUUUUCAUCAGGCGCUGCCCAUGUCGAUCAUCUUGAUGACAUCAUCAGCAGAGUUAACCAGAUGCUCCUGCAGCCCCACCACUUGCACCUGUUGCUUGCCGUCCUCCAGCACGCGCAGCUUGGCCUUCUUGUUGAGCAGGUCAAACAGCUGUGCCAGGCAGGGGGAAUGAGGCUAAGGCCACUGGGCACCCGGCACCCCACCCGACUGCUUCCUCCUACUAGCCUGCCCAGCUCGGACAAGAGCCAGCAGCAGGAAAGGCAGAGAAUACGAACUGAUGGAUGUCAGCCUAGCAGAGGUCAAUAUACUUGGGAUCUGA